This 64-nucleotide transfer RNA is filed under the name Cryptocercus punctulatus (brown-hooded cockroach). RNAcentral describes it as "tRNA-Pro". Lineage: Eukaryota; Metazoa; Arthropoda; Insecta; Blattodea; Cryptocercidae. The record is from RNAcentral.
CAAAGGAUAAUUUAUUUAAAAUUUUAUUCUUGGAUAUUAACAAAGGGAUAAAGCUCUUCUUUGA